RNAcentral lists this ribosomal RNA (805 nucleotides) under fungal sp. EEM06. RNAcentral's name for it is "SSU rRNA". It matches the Rfam family "Eukaryotic small subunit ribosomal RNA", at positions 299 to 1113 of the family's 1831-position model. The record is from RNAcentral. Lineage: Eukaryota; Fungi.
CCUUCAUUUCUGCCUAUCAACUUUCGAUGGUAGGAUAGUGGCUACCAUGGUUUCAACGGGUAACGGGGAAUUAGGGUUCUAUUCCGGAGAGGGAGCCUGAGAAACGGCUACCACAUCCAAGGAAGGCAGCAGGCGCGCAAAUUACCCAAUCCCGACACGGGGAGGUAGUGACAAUAAAUACUGAUACAGGGCUCUUUUGAGUCUUGUAAUUGGAAUGAGUACAAUUUAAAUCCCUUAACGAGGAACAAUUGGAGGGCAAGUCUGGUGCCAGCAGCCGCGGUAAUUCCAGCUCCAAUAGCGUAUAUUAAAGUUGUUGCAGUUAAAAAGCUCGUAGUUGAACCUUGGGCCUGGCUGGCCGGUCCGCCUCACCGCGUGCACUGGUCCGGCCGGGCCUUUCCUCCUGGGGAGCCGCAUGCCCUUCACUGGGUGUGUCGGGGAACCAGGACUUUUACUUUGAAAAAAUUAGAAGUGUUCAAAGCAGGCCUAUGCUCGAAUACAUUAGCAUGGAAUAAUAGAAUAGGACGUGUGGUUCUAUUUUGUUGGUUUCUAGGACCGCCGUAAUGAUUAAUAGGGAUAGUCGGGGGCAUCAGUAUUCAAUUGCAGAGGUGAAAUUCUUGGAUUUAUUGAAGACUAACUACUGCGAAAGCAUUUGCCAAGGAUGUUUUCAUUAAUCAGUGAACGAAAGUUAGGGGAUCGAAGACGAUCAGAUACCGUCGUAAUCUUAACCAUAAACUAUGCCGACUAGGGAUCGGGCGAUGUUAUCUUUUGCUCGCUCGGCACCUUCGAGAAAUCAAAGUUUUGGGUU